GCCUGGGUGGCUCAACGGUUGAGCAUCUGCCUUUGACUCAGGUCGUGAUCCCAGAGUCCUGGGAUCAAGUCCCACAUCAGGCU
Canis lupus familiaris (dog) is the source of this 83-nucleotide non-coding RNA. The record is from Rfam. NCBI's taxonomy places the organism in Eukaryota, Metazoa, Chordata, Mammalia, Carnivora, Canidae.